RNAcentral lists this ribosomal RNA (376 nucleotides) under uncultured bacterium. Its description in RNAcentral is "bacterial SSU rRNA". It matches the Rfam family "Bacterial small subunit ribosomal RNA", at positions 524 to 898 of the family's 1533-position model. The record is from RNAcentral.
UACGGAGGUCCCUAGCGUUGUUCGGAAUUACUGGGCGUAAAGGGGGCGCAGGCGGACAGGUCAGUGGAAAGUGGAAGCCCAGGGCUCAACCCUGGAACGCCUUUCCAUACUGCUUGUCUUGAGUUCGUGAGAGGAGAGCGGAAUUCAGGGUGUAGCGGUGAAAUGCUUAGAUAUCCUGAGGAACACCAAUGGCGAAAGCAGCUCUCUGGCACGUUACUGACGCUGAGGCCCGAAAGCGUGGGGAGCGAACGGGAUUAGAUACCCCGGUAGUCCACGCCGUAAACGUUGUGCACUAGGUGCAGGAGGUAUCGACCCCUUCUGUGCCGCAGCUAACGCAUUAAGUGCACCGCCUGGGGAGUACGCUCGCAAGAGUGAA